Molecule: non-coding RNA, 201 nt
Organism: Caenorhabditis elegans
Lineage: Eukaryota; Metazoa; Nematoda; Chromadorea; Rhabditida; Rhabditidae
Source: Ensembl
UGGUUUAAUCUGAGUUGCAUUGUUCGAAAACCGGAUCAAAAAUGAAGAAAAAACACUGGAAACUGAGAAACUAACCGGGAAGACUUUUGUUGUGGUAAAUGCAUUUGACAGAAGCGAUAAUUGGUGUGAAAAUACGAAGGAAUAGAGAGACAAAAAAGAGUUGGAAUGAGAUGAGAGAUGGAAGUAUAGACAAUAUACAAA